ACGUAGGUGGCAAGCGUUAUCCGGAUUUACUGGGUGUAAAGGGCGAGUAGGCGGGAUUGCAAGUCAGAUGUGAAAACUAUGGGCUCAACCCAUAGACUGCAUUUGAAACUGCAGUUCUUGAGUGAUGGAGAGGCAGGCGGAAUUCCCGGUGUAGCGGUGGAAUGCGUAGAUAUCGGGAGGAACACCAGUGGCGAAGGCGGCCUGCUGGACAUUAACUGACGCUGAGGCGCGAAAGCGUGGGGAGCAAACAG
This 251-nucleotide ribosomal RNA is filed under the name uncultured bacterium. RNAcentral describes it as "partial 16S ribosomal RNA". It matches the Rfam family "Bacterial small subunit ribosomal RNA", at positions 525 to 775 of the family's 1533-position model. The record is from RNAcentral.